RNAcentral lists this ribosomal RNA (409 nucleotides) under uncultured bacterium. RNAcentral's name for it is "bacterial SSU rRNA". It matches the Rfam family "Bacterial small subunit ribosomal RNA", at positions 8 to 431 of the family's 1533-position model. The record is from RNAcentral.
AGAGUUUGAUCCUGGCUCAGAACGAACGCUGGCGGCAGGCCUAACACAUGCAAGUCGAACGCCGUAGCAAUACGGAGUGGCAGACGGGUGAGUAACGCGUGGGAACAUACCCCUCGGUUCGGAAUAACUCAGGGAAACUUGAGCUAAUACCGGAUACGUCCGAGGUUUUAAUCGACCUUGGAGAAAGAUUUAUCGCCGGAGGAUUGGCCCGCGUCUGAUUAGCUUGUUGGUGAGGUAAUGGCUCACCAAGGCGACGAUCAGUAGCUGGUCUGAGAGGAUGAUCAGCCACAUUGGGACUGAGACACGGCCCAAACUCCUACGGGAGGCAGCAGUGGGGAAUAUUGGACAAUGGGCGAAAGCCUGAUCCAGCCAUGCCGCGUGAGUGAUGAAGGCCUUAGGGUUGUAAAGC